CCUACGGGAGGCAGCAGUGAGGAAUAUUGGUCAAUGGACGAAAGUCUGAACCAGCCAUGCCGCGUGAAGGAUGACGGCCCUACGGGUUGUAAACUUCUUUUGUAUAGGAAGAAACCCCCCUACGUGUAGGGGGCUGACGGUACUAUACGAAUAAGCACCGGCUAACUCCGUGCCAGCAGCCGCGGUAAUACGGAGGGUGCAAGCGUUAUCCGGAAUUAUUGGGUUUAAAGGGUGCGUAGGCGGAAAUUUAAGUCAGUGGUGAAAGCCUGCAGCUCAACUGUAGAAUUGCCAUUGAUACUGAAUUUCUUGAAUCUAAUUGAAGUGGGCGGAAUAUGACAUGUAGCGGUGAAAUGCUUAGAUAUGUCAUAGAACACCGAUAGCGAAGGCAGCUCACUAAGUUAGUAUUGACGCUCAUGCACGAAAGCGUGGGGAGCGAACAG
RNAcentral lists this ribosomal RNA (440 nucleotides) under uncultured bacterium. Its description in RNAcentral is "bacterial SSU rRNA". It matches the Rfam family "Bacterial small subunit ribosomal RNA", at positions 338 to 775 of the family's 1533-position model. The record is from RNAcentral.